CACCAGGCCUGGGGACAGGGGCCGGCCACUGGGCCGGCCGCGAGGAGCUGUCCUCAUGGCGGCCGGGUCCAGCCAUAGCCCGGCAGCGCAGUGCAGUGGGCAGCCUGCCCCACCCGCCUGCUCCCCGUGCUGCCUCAGGCCUCAGGCCCUCAGCCAGAGCACCCUCCAAGGUCCCCCAGCCCAGCCACGCGGCCUCCUUGCGGCCCGAGUCACACCCAGGGCCUAGCCUGUCCCAUACCCUGUGCCAGCAGCGCCCCCUGCUGGCUCCGCAGCCCUCCGACUCGGCUGGCUGCACCGCCUCAGGGAAGCCCUCUGGGAUCUGCCUGCCCUGCUCUCUGGAGUGAGGACCCUCCCAGCACCGAGAUGGGGAGUUUGUGCAACUCCCACUGGGUCGGCCCAGACUUGCCUCCGUUUUUCCCCCGCAAGGGGAAUGUGUUAGGUAUUUCGCUUAUUUCGGUAUCUCCAAAACUCUUAGCACAAAAUCAGGCACAUAGGAGGCCUUGAAAAGAUCCUUGUUGGUUGACGUAUUGCUGAGUGAGUGAGCUGUGAUGGCGGCACAGGCCCUGGUCCUCAGAGCCUGAGGGAGUGUGUGCACGUGUGCAUGCAUGUGCGUGUAUGUGGGAUGUGCGUGUGUCUUUGUGUGCAUAUGUGAUGUGUGUGGUGUGUAUGUGGUGUAUGUAGGUGUGUGGUGUGUGUGGUGUGUGUGUGCUGUGUGGUGUGUGUAGGUGUGUGCUGUGUGUAGGUGUGUGCUGUAUGUGUGCUGUAUGUGUGGUGUGUGGUGUGUGUAGGUGUGUGAUGUGUGUGGUGUGUGUGGUGUGUGUGUGGUGUGCGUAGGUGUGUGCUGUAUGUGUGGUGUGUGGUGUGUGUAGGUGUGUGGUGUCUGUGGUGUGUGUAUAGGUGUGUGGUGUGUGUAAGUGUGUGUGCUGUGUGGUGUGUGUGUGCUGUGUGGUGUGUGUAGGUGUGUGCUGUAUGUGUGGUGUGUGGUGUGUGGUUGUGUGUGGUGUGUGUGGUGUGUGUGUGGUGUAUUUGGGGUGUGGUGUGUGUAGGUACGUGUGCAGGUGUAGCUCACACCCCGCCUCCCUCUAGUCCCCUCACAAGUAAGCAGGACCGUCAGGCGUCCCGGGCGGGGCAG
Molecule: long non-coding RNA, 1132 nt
Filed under: Equus caballus (horse)
Lineage: Eukaryota; Metazoa; Chordata; Mammalia; Perissodactyla; Equidae
Description: lncRNA (ENSECAG00000048693.1)
Source: RNAcentral